Transfer RNA from Camelus ferus (Wild Bactrian camel), 72 nucleotides. It matches the Rfam family "tRNA". From Rfam's summary of the family: Transfer RNA (tRNA) molecules are approximately 80 nucleotides in length. Their secondary structure includes four short double-helical elements and three loops (D, anti-codon, and T loops). The record is from Rfam. Lineage: Eukaryota; Metazoa; Chordata; Mammalia; Artiodactyla; Camelidae.
GAGGGUAUAGCUCAGUGGUAGAGCACAUGCAUAGCAAGCACGGGGUCCUGGGUUCAAUCCCCAGGGCCUCCA